GAUGAACGCUGGCGGCGUGCCUAAUACAUGCAAGUCGAGCGAACGGACGAGAAGCUUGCUUCUCUGAUGUUAGCGGCGGACGGGUGAGUAACACGUGGAUAACCUACCUAUAAGACUGGGAUAACUUCGGGAAACCGGAGCUAAUACCGGAUAAUAUUUUGAACCGCAUGGUUCAAAAGUGAAAGACGGUCUUGCUGUCACUUAUAGAUGGAUCCGCGCUGCAUUAGCUAGUUGGUAAGGUAACGGCUUACCAAGGCAACGAUGCAUAGCCGACCUGAGAGGGAGGUCGACCACACUGGAACUGAGACACAGUCCAGACUCCUACGGGAGGCAGCAGUAGGGAAUCUUCCGCAAUGGGCGAAAGCCUGACGGAGCAACGCCGCGUGAGUGAUGAAGGUCUUCGGAUCGUAAAACUCUGUUAUUAGGGAAGAACAUAUGUGUAAGUAACUGUGCACAUCUCGACGGUACCUAACCAGAAAGCCACGGCUAACUACGUG
This 497-nucleotide ribosomal RNA is filed under the name uncultured bacterium. RNAcentral's name for it is "partial 16S ribosomal RNA". It matches the Rfam family "Bacterial small subunit ribosomal RNA", at positions 28 to 507 of the family's 1533-position model. The record is from RNAcentral.